This 403-nucleotide ribosomal RNA is filed under the name uncultured bacterium. RNAcentral's name for it is "bacterial SSU rRNA". It matches the Rfam family "Bacterial small subunit ribosomal RNA", at positions 86 to 507 of the family's 1533-position model. The record is from RNAcentral.
CUUAACUUAGUGGCGAACGGGUGAGUAACGCGUGAGGAACCUGCCUUCAGAGGGGACGAACAGUUGGAAACGACUGCUAAUACCGCAUGAUACUUGCGAAUGGCAUCAUUUGCAAGUCAAAGAUUUAUCGCUGAAAGAUGGCCUCGCGUCUGACUAGCUAGUUGGUGGGGUAACGGCCCACCAAGGCGACGAUCAGUAGCCGGACUGAGAGGUUGACCGGCCACAUUGGGACUGAGAUACGGCCCAGACUCCUACGGGAGGCAGCAGUGGGGAAUAUUGGGCAAUGGGCGCAAGCCUGACCCAGCAACGCCGCGUGAAGGAAGAAGGCCUUCGGGUUGUAAACUUCUUUUACCAGGGACGAAAAAUGACGGUACCUGGAGAAAAAGCAACGGCUAACUACGUG